Molecule: ribosomal RNA, 253 nt
Filed under: uncultured bacterium
Lineage: Bacteria
Description: partial 16S ribosomal RNA
Rfam family: Bacterial small subunit ribosomal RNA
Source: RNAcentral
UACAGAGGGUGCAAGCGUUAAUCGGAAUUACUGGGCGUAAAGCGUGCGUAGACGGUUAUGUAAGUCGAGUGUGAAAUCCCCGGGCUCAACCCGGGAACUGCGUCCGAUACUGGCAGGCUUGAAUCCGGGAGAGGGAUGUGGAAUUCCAGGUGUAGCGGUGAAAUGCGUAGAUAUCUGGAGGAACACCGGUGGCGAAGGCGGCAUCCUGGACCGGUAUUGACGCUGAGGCGCGAAAGCCAGGGGAGCAAACGGG